Molecule: non-coding RNA, 93 nt
Organism: Cercophora newfieldiana
Lineage: Eukaryota; Fungi; Ascomycota; Sordariomycetes; Sordariales; Lasiosphaeriaceae
Source: the annotation of a GenBank genome assembly
UCUUCCGUAGUAUAGUGGUCAGUAUGUGAGCUUGUCAUCUCUGUCACAGAGAUCUCAUCGCUCGAGACCCGGGUUCAAUUCCCGGCGGGAGAG